This is a long non-coding RNA of Periophthalmus magnuspinnatus, 420 nucleotides long. RefSeq lists it as uncharacterized. The transcript is spliced from 3 exons. The record is from RefSeq and is a predicted model, not a curated record. Lineage: Eukaryota; Metazoa; Chordata; Actinopteri; Gobiiformes; Gobiidae.
GUGCCUCUGAAUAAUUUUCUCCAGUUUCUCGAGCCUGCUCAAGGCCUGCGACUGAUCAAGUGUUGCUGUGUUUGAUUGGCGUAAUAGCACCAUACCCCCCAGUUUACAAUGUGGAGAAGGCCACUUUGUGUGUGUGGCUUAUCGGCCUCUUGUCCUGGUCAGCCAUUGGUUGUAAAGUGGUUGGACCCUUGGAAGAACUGGGACAGCCUUGAUCUCCACUGUCAGCAGCAGAGCCGAGGGAGAGCUAAUGUCCCCAAGGCCACGGCGUGGGUUCUGCUCCUCUGCCUCUUACACACUGCUCCGUGCUCAAUUUUUAAGGAUCCAAAGGAAGUAGUCUGUGUAUUUGUGCAGCACCUGUAAUGGAAGUUCAACUUAAAGCAUGAAGCUGCAGAAGAAGCAAAACAUUACAUUUCCUUUUGA